Molecule: ribosomal RNA, 505 nt
Filed under: uncultured bacterium
Lineage: Bacteria
Description: partial 16S ribosomal RNA
Rfam family: Bacterial small subunit ribosomal RNA
Source: RNAcentral
AGUGAACGCUGGCGGUAGGCCCAACACAUGCAAGUCGAACGGCAGCACAGGAGAGCUUGCUCUCUGGUGGCGAGUGGCGGACGGGGGAGGAAUACAUCGGAAUCUACUCUUUCGUGGGGGAUAACGUAGGGAAACUUACGCUAAUACCGCAUACGACCUACGGGUGAAAGCAGGGGACCUUCGGGCCUUGCGCGAUUGCAUGAGCCGAUGUCGGAUUAGCCAGUUGGCGGGGUAAAGGCCCACCAAGGCGACGAUCCGUAGCUGGUCUGAGAGGAUGAUCAGCCACACUGGAACUGAGACACGGUCCAGACUCCUACGGGAGGCAGCAGUGGGGAAUAUUGGACAAUGGGCGCAAGCCUGAUCCAGCCCUACCGCGUGGGUGAAGAAGGCCUUCGGGUUGUAAAGCCCUUUUGUUGGGAAAGAAAUCCAGCUGGCUAAUACCCGGUUGGGAUGACGGUACCCAAAGAAUAAGCACCGGCUAACUUCGUGCCAGCCGCCGCUGUAA